GUACUUACCUGGACGGAGUCAAUGGGUGAACAAUAAGGUUUAUGGCCUGGGUUAUUGACUUCCAUUGCACUGAGGAGGGGUGCUAUCCUAAAGGUCUCUCCAAAUGGCAGAGUCUACGUCAUAAUUUGUAGUAGCGGGGGCCUGUGUUCGCGCGGCUCCUUU
Molecule: small nuclear RNA, 162 nt
Organism: Hevea brasiliensis (rubber tree)
Lineage: Eukaryota; Viridiplantae; Streptophyta; Magnoliopsida; Malpighiales; Euphorbiaceae
Product: U1 spliceosomal RNA
Exons: 1
Source: RefSeq, a predicted model, not a curated record